CCUUGGGCGCAUUCAGAAGGGCAGUUUGGGAAGUUGAUGCAAGAAGGAACCAGCUAUCAGAACCAAACCACCGGCCGGGACCAUAAGAUGAGUUUUUCAAGAAAGCCAAAUUCAAAGGAAUGGCGAUGGUGGCCAAUUUGCAGAUGAUUCCGCCUGAUUACCACCGUAGAAGCACCCAAUCGAUCGCCGCCUCUCCAACUGGGUUUCUGCCGGAGAUCAAGGGUUGGUUACUGCAUUCCCAAUAUUCAUAUGAUCAGUUUAUUUGGUUUUUAUGAUUAUAUGAUUGGAUGUAGCUUAAAUGAUUUGAUAUGGUAUAGUUUGGUUCGGGAAGAUAUCA
Cynara cardunculus var. scolymus (artichoke) is the source of this 337-nucleotide long non-coding RNA. RefSeq lists it as uncharacterized. The transcript is spliced from 2 exons. The record is from RefSeq and is a predicted model, not a curated record. Lineage: Eukaryota; Viridiplantae; Streptophyta; Magnoliopsida; Asterales; Asteraceae.